RNAcentral lists this ribosomal RNA (635 nucleotides) under Escherichia coli. Its description in RNAcentral is "partial 23S ribosomal RNA". It matches the Rfam family "Bacterial large subunit ribosomal RNA", at positions 555 to 1191 of the family's 2925-position model. The record is from RNAcentral. Lineage: Bacteria; Pseudomonadati; Pseudomonadota; Gammaproteobacteria; Enterobacterales; Enterobacteriaceae.
ACCGUGUACGUACAAGCAGUGGGAGCACGCUUAGGCGUGUGACUGCGUACCUUUUGUAUAAUGGGUCAGCGACUUAUAUUCUGUAGCAAGGUUAACCGAAUAGGGGAGCCGAAGGGAAACCGAGUCUUAACUGGGCGUUAAGUUGCAGGGUAUAGACCCGAAACCCGGUGAUCUAGCCAUGGGCAGGUUGAAGGUUGGGUAACACUAACUGGAGGACCGAACCGACUAAUGUUGAAAAAUUAGCGGAUGACUUGUGGCUGGGGGUGAAAGGCCAAUCAAACCGGGAGAUAGCUGGUUCUCCCCGAAAGCUAUUUAGGUAGCGCCUCGUGAAUUCAUCUCCGGGGGUAGAGCACUGUUUCGGCAAGGGGGUCAUCCCGACUUACCAACCCGAUGCAAACUGCGAAUACCGGAGAAUGUUAUCACGGGAGACACACGGCGGGUGCUAACGUCCGUCGUGAAGAGGGAAACAACCCAGACCGCCAGCUAAGGUCCCAAAGUCAUGGUUAAGUGGGAAACGAUGUGGGAAGGCCCAGACAGCCAGGAUGUUGGCUUAGAAGCAGCCAUCAUUUAAAGAAAGCGUAAUAGCUCACUGGUCGAGUCGGCCUGCGCGGAAGAUGUAACGGGGCUAAACCAUG